GCUUCUAUUUGAGCUGCUGUAAGUGCAUGUGCCUGCAUGUGUGGAUGCACCCGAUGAGUCCUAAGUGAUUCUAUGAGAAAGUUAGUAUGCAGUAAGAUCAGAUGUGAAUUUAUAGCACGUAUGUGGAACAGACAGUGCACUGUAACUUCACACUCUAGCUUAUUCUGCUUAUUGCUACAAUGUUAAGCAGUUAGGGCUUGCGUAUAAUAAAAACUGAACUUCCUCCUAAUCUUUUUAAGCACCUUCUUCUAAUAUAACAACCCCACCCUCUCUGACCAGAAGUAAAAACAUCUAAAAUAGUCUCAGUACAGGAGUAACCCACUGCUCAUUAACUAGGGAUGCACAAAAUAUUUAUUUCUAUUCAUAAUAUAUCUUGCUAAACUAGUUUUCUUAAACAACUCAUUGUUAUUUUCUUUUUUUAAUAAUUACUUAUCCACUAGGGUAUGACUAAGGCUAUGUUUUUGGCACAUUUCUUUUUAAUAAAUGUCAUAGAAGAGGUGUGGAAAAUGCAGUAUUCAAGGAAAAGUGCCAAAGCAUGCUUGCUACAUGUUGACAACAGUGAAACAGUACCUUAGCAGAGCUCAUUUCUCUACUCUGGACCACUGCCUCAUAGGAGUUGUAGCUUGAAGGGCUAUUGCCCCCAUUCUUUCAGCCAACAUCUGUGGCUGAAUUACACCUUCCAUGAUCCUGUGUGCUCUUCCCUUUCAUAGAAUGCCAGGGUCCUCCUGAUUCUCACUGAGUUUCUACAUUGUUGUGGUUUCCAAACCUCCAUGGCUGCUGUGACAAAAAUGUAGUCUUAGUCAUGACUGGCAGCCUGUGCUAAAUAACCAUCUAACUAGUAUGGACUGGAGAAGUAAAUACAGGUACUCCUCACUUAACGUCAUCCCAGUUAAGGUUGUUUCAUUAUUACAUCGCUGAUCUAUUAGAGAACAUACUUGUUUAAAGUCGUGCAAUGUUCGGUUACAACUCUGUUUGGCCACUGCCUGCUAGUAGGUAACUCUUGUGAUGUAAUCAGAUUUGCUUAACAUCAUUUUGCUUAAAGUUGCAAUUUUCAAGAACAUAACUAUGAUGUUAAGUGAGGAAUAGUUGUACAGCUCUUCUAAAUUAACUAAAGAAGAUACUGUUACAUCCAUCUUAAGAGUUUGCUGAGCUCUAUGGUCAGUACAACAAAGUAUUCACCUUCAUAAGCCAAUAAAAGUAGUAGAUAGAUGUCACUGAUAACUGUACCCAUGUUUAAAAAUACAGAUCAGAAGCUUUUUAAAAAACAAUCAACCAUGUAGUCAAAGAGCUAAAACACUUUAUUCUAAUCUCUUGGUAUAUGCUUUGUCAAAAAAAGUCAUUAUACAUCCAGAUAAUCUAAUACAAUUUACUUACAAAAUACGCUUUGUAUAAACUGUAAAACCCUUUUAUUUUGAUUAGAUAGAUCAUUCCUUUAUCUUGCAUAUG
Gavialis gangeticus (Gharial) is the source of this 1446-nucleotide long non-coding RNA. RefSeq lists it as uncharacterized. The record is from RefSeq and is a predicted model, not a curated record. NCBI's taxonomy places the organism in Eukaryota, Metazoa, Chordata, Crocodylia, Gavialidae. The transcript is spliced from 2 exons.